ACUGGUGAGUAACACGUGGAUAACCUGCCCUGAAGUAUGGGAUAACAUUUGGAAACAAGUGCUAAUACCGUAUAAUUAGUAAAAGUCGCAUGACUUCUACUUGAAAGAUGGUUCUGCUAUCGCUUUAGGAUGGAUCCGCGGCGUAUUAGCUAGUUGGUGAGAUAAAAGCCCACCAAGGCGAUGAUACGUAGCCGACCUGAGAGGGUAAUCGGCCACAUUGGGACUGAGACACGGCCCAGACUCCUACGGGAGGCAGCAGUAGGGAAUCUUCCACAAUGGACGAAAGUCUGAUGGAGCAACGCCGCGUGAGUGAAGAAGGGUUUCGGCUCGUAAAACUCUGUUGUUAAAGAAGAACAAGUGUAAGAGUAACUGUUUACGCUUUGACGGUAUUUAACCAGAAAGCCACGGCUAACUACGUGCCAGCAGCCGCGGUAAUACGUAGGUGGCAAGCGUUGUCCGGAUUUAUUGGGCGUAAAGCGAGCGCAGGCGGUUUUUUAAGUCUGAUGUGAAAGCCUUCGGCUCAACCGAAGAAGUGCAUCGGAAACUAAAUAACUUGAAUAC
This 561-nucleotide ribosomal RNA is filed under the name uncultured bacterium. RNAcentral describes it as "bacterial SSU rRNA". It matches the Rfam family "Bacterial small subunit ribosomal RNA", at positions 102 to 649 of the family's 1533-position model. The record is from RNAcentral.